This 400-nucleotide unclassified non-coding RNA is filed under the name soil metagenome. RNAcentral describes it as "partial contains 5.8S ribosomal RNA, internal transcribed spacer 2, and large subunit ribosomal RNA". The stretch from base 1 to 120 matches the Rfam family "5.8S ribosomal RNA", at positions 35 to 154 of the family's 154-position model. The record is from RNAcentral.
GAUGAAGAACGCAGCGAAAUGCGAUACUUGGUGUGAAUUGCAGAAUCCCGUGAACCAUCGAGUCUUUGAACGCAAGUUGCGCCCGAAGCCUCGGCUAAGGGCACGUCUGCCUGGGCGUCACGCAUCGCGUCUCCCCCAAACCGCCAAGGCGGAGGGGAUGGAAGAUGGCUUCCCGUGCCUCACCCGGGCGCGGUUGGCCUAAAUUUGGAGCCCGCGGCACUUAGCUCUCGCGGCGAUAGGUGGUGAACAAGGCCUUGGCCGUGCAAACAACCCGCUGCGAAGCUCUAUGUCACGUGCGCUCGUCGGACCCUUUGAAGUUGCCUUUGGUGACUUAAAACCUUUGCGACCCCAGGUCAGGCGGGGCUACCCGCUGAAUUUAAGCAUAUCAAUAAGCGGAGGA